RNAcentral lists this ribosomal RNA (254 nucleotides) under uncultured bacterium. RNAcentral describes it as "partial 16S ribosomal RNA". It matches the Rfam family "Bacterial small subunit ribosomal RNA", at positions 524 to 776 of the family's 1533-position model. The record is from RNAcentral.
UACGUAGGGUGCGAGCGUUGUCCGGAAUUACUGGGCGUAAAGAGCUCGUAGGCGGUGUGUCACGUCGGCCGUGAAAACCUGCAGCUUAACUGUGGGCGUGCGGUCGAUACGGGCAUCACUGGAGUUCGGCAGGGGAGACUGGAAUUCCUGGUGUAGCGGUGAAAUGCGCAGAUAUCAGGAGGAACACCGGUGGCGAAGGCAGGUCUCUGGGCCGAUACUGACGCUGAGGAGCGAAAGCGUGGGGAGCGAACAGG